Molecule: long non-coding RNA, 1003 nt
Filed under: Nicotiana tabacum (common tobacco)
Lineage: Eukaryota; Viridiplantae; Streptophyta; Magnoliopsida; Solanales; Solanaceae
Description: long non-coding RNA (NTAB_LNC005833)
Source: RNAcentral
GCGUUCAAUUUUCAAGUUCAAGUUAGAGAAGCAUCAGGAGAAGCCCUCCUGAAGAACAGGGUCAACUUUUAGUUUACAAUUUCAAGUCAGAGAAGCAUCAGGAGCCCGCCUGAAGAACAUGGUCAACUUUCAAUUUUCAAGUUCAAGGUAUAGAAGCAUCAGGAGCCUGCCUGAAGAACAACGUCAAUUUUCAGUUUACAAGUUCAAGUCGAAGAGGCAUCAGGAUCCCGCCUGAAGAACAGGGUCAACUUUCAGUUUUCAAGUUCAAGUUAGAGGCAGCAGGAUCCCGCCUGAAGAAUAGGGUUAACCUCCAGUUUUUUUCAAGUCAAAUGAGAAGUAGCACGAGCCGCAUGAAGGACAAGGUUUGCAAGCUCGAGUCUACCGCAAGUUCACGUUUAUUUCAAGUGCAAGCAGCAGGGUGCACGCAUGAAGAAUAGGGUCAACUUCCAGUGUUCUUUAGACUCAAGUCAGCAGGAUGCCCACUUGAAGAAUGGGGUUGAAUUUUCAGUUUCAUGAUUGAAGGAUCAAGUGGAUAUUCAAGGAAGAUUCGAGACAAGAAGUAGAUACGAUCUUGUAUUUUUUUUAUUUUUGAUGUAAUUUUUCCUUUUAUUUUUUAUAUAAUGGAAGGAACCGCGGACCGGAACCUCGACGGCGCCUCAAUCGGCUCUCCACCUCGGUAUACUCCAUCACUCUUCUCACUUUUGAACUACACGUGGCCUGAUUCCUGUAUAGUCAAGGAUAUGUAGGCAGCUUAAAUACCAAGGCUCGGUCACAAUCUUUUGUCCAUCUUUAUUUCGUUUUGAAUAAGCGUCGGGUCAUAAAUCAAUUACGUUGCUUAUUGUUAGCCUAUUUUUCACUUUUAAUCUAAUAGUAGAACAUAAAAUUCGAAAACACAAAAAAAUAGUUUCACUUUGUAUUUUUUACCUCAUUACAUAUCUUUUUCAAGAAUAUUAGUAUUUUUGGUAGAAAUAUUAUUUUAAUUUUGUGAUGAUUUUAAUCUAAU